CGGACUGCAGUCUGCAACUCGACUGCACGAAGCUGGAAUCGCUAGUAGUCGCAGAUCAGAAUGCUGCGGUGAAUACGUUCCCGGGUCUUGUACACACCGCCCGUCACACCAUGGGAGUCAGUAACGCCCGAAGUCAGUGACCUAACCGCAAGGGAGGAGCUGCCGAAGGCGGGACCGAUAACUGGGGUGAAGUCGUAACAAGGUAGC
This 207-nucleotide ribosomal RNA is filed under the name uncultured bacterium. RNAcentral's name for it is "partial 16S ribosomal RNA". It matches the Rfam family "Bacterial small subunit ribosomal RNA", at positions 1294 to 1500 of the family's 1533-position model. The record is from RNAcentral.